UACGUAGGGUGCAAGCGUUGUCCGGAAUUAUUGGGCGUAAAGAGCUCGUAGGCGGUCUGUCGCGUCUGCUGUGAAAAUCCAGGGCUCAACCUCGAACUUGCGGUGGGUACGGGCAGACUAGAGUGUGGUAGGGGAGACUGGAAUUCCUGGUGUAGCGGUGAAAUGCGCAGAUAUCAGGAGGAACACCGAUGGCGAAGGCAGGUCUCUGGGCCACUACUGACGCUGAGAAGCGAAAGCAUGGGGAGCGAACGGG
This 253-nucleotide ribosomal RNA is filed under the name uncultured bacterium. Its description in RNAcentral is "partial 16S ribosomal RNA". It matches the Rfam family "Bacterial small subunit ribosomal RNA", at positions 524 to 776 of the family's 1533-position model. The record is from RNAcentral.